UUGACCCUGCAUGUUUUGAGAAAGCAGACUUGCUGUUUCUCUCUUUACUGUCUACUGCAGCAACAUUGUUUCAGAAAAUGCACCGGGCUGAUCGAGCAAAAAUGUAAACUUCUGAUUGAUGGCAUACUGGGAACGUUAGUGAUCUUUCUGGUGCUGGAACUGCUGAUCUGCAUUACCACUAUGCUGUUUGAACUCAGUGUCUUAGCUGCAGGUGGCAAACAGCGGACUUCAAGCCAUAGACCCACCUACCCACAGACUCGCCCCCCAGCAGCUCCAGCCGUGCAAGUUGUUCAGACCACGGUGGCAGAAGCUGAGCCAUCCCAGGUACCACAUGUUCACGGGGGUCUCCACUGAAACAAACUACACAGAAACAGUACUAUACUCACUUUGCUUUACACGUUUUGGCUGCUCAAGGUGCACCCUUAAAUUAAAAAUCUACACCUGAAUUGAGUUAAAGCAGGUGAGAGCUUCUCAUCUAAAAAUGUUUAAGAUGCUUUUUGUUGGGAUUUAUGAUAAUAACAACAAUAAUCUUUAUUUUAUUAGGAAAAAGGUUCGUCUCAUGUACUCAUGGCUUGGCUCUGUUGUGAGGAAACAGCAUAUUUAGAAUCCAUUCAUUCAAUAAGCCAGGUCAGCCACGAAAACAAAAUUCCUUUAAAAAACAUGUUAAAAUCCAAGGAUAGAUGUAGCAAAUGAGUCCCGCGCUUCAUCUAUGCUUUUAUUUUACCAAAAUUUAGAGUAACGUCACUCCCAGCUCCAAACAGGUCAAUCCCAGUUAAAGGUAGACAAGUCAAACUCCAGUCUUUGAGAACAUUCUGCUUUUUUAUUUUC
RNAcentral lists this long non-coding RNA (828 nucleotides) under Oryzias sinensis (Chinese medaka). RNAcentral's name for it is "lncRNA (ENSOSIG00000000023.1)". The record is from RNAcentral. Lineage: Eukaryota; Metazoa; Chordata; Actinopteri; Beloniformes; Adrianichthyidae.